This 65-nucleotide transfer RNA is filed under the name Pseudomyrmex elongatus. RNAcentral describes it as "tRNA-Pro". The record is from RNAcentral. Lineage: Eukaryota; Metazoa; Arthropoda; Insecta; Hymenoptera; Formicidae.
CAAAAAAUAGUUUAUUUAGAAUGUUAAUUUUGGAGAUUAAAGGUGUGUAAAUUACAUUUUUUUGA